RNAcentral lists this ribosomal RNA (253 nucleotides) under uncultured bacterium. RNAcentral describes it as "partial 16S ribosomal RNA". It matches the Rfam family "Bacterial small subunit ribosomal RNA", at positions 524 to 776 of the family's 1533-position model. The record is from RNAcentral.
UACGUAGGGGGCAAGCGUUGUCCGGAAUUAUUGGGCGUAAAGAGCUUGUAGGCGGUUUGUCGCGUCUGCCGUGAAAAUCCGGGGCUCAACCCCGGACUUGCGGUGGGUACGGGCAGACUAGAGUGUGGUAGGGGAGACUGGAAUUCCUGGUGUAGCGGUGAAAUGCGCAGAUAUCAGGAGGAACACCGGUGGCGAAGGCGGGUCUCUGGGCCGAUACUGACGCUGAGGAGCGAAAGCGUGGGGAGCGAACAGG